Podarcis raffonei (Aeolian wall lizard) is the source of this 4936-nucleotide RNA transcript. It is a transcript of the gene named homeobox protein SIX6-like, with no coding region annotated. The record is from RefSeq and is a predicted model, not a curated record. The transcript is spliced from 4 exons. Lineage: Eukaryota; Metazoa; Chordata; Lepidosauria; Squamata; Lacertidae.
UAUCAUGCCCAAGGCCGCCCAGAAAGACUUACAACCAACCAAACAGACAAUAAACCCCACACAGAGACAUUAACAGACCUUGCAAGUGUCCGGGAUAAACUGUGGCAUCCCGUUUUUUAUUGCGAGAAAACAGAGGCCAUUCCCCACCCCCAAAAGCACUAUUUUGGGGGGCUGCGAUCUUGCGCAGGCACCCAAAAUGUGCAUCUUUUGGUGCAUCUUUGGGAGGAGUAAGCCAGGGCGCGAAAUCAUGCAAGAUUACGACAACCAAAUGGGCAUAGUUGUGAUUAAAAAAUGGGAAGUUGGAAACCAGGAAGAUGGCAUCCCGGAUGUUGGCUUCAAAGUGUUGGAGGGUAUACAUUAAAACCAAGUGGAAAUAAAAAUACAUUUAAACAUCCCGCCCAUUUCCUAAAAGGCUACAGGUAGUUAAAGGCCAAAGGCCUUGUUAUAGAGGAAAGGUUUUGCCUGGCGCCUAAAGAUACGUAAGGAAGGUGCCUGGCGGGCCUCCCUGGGGAGCAACCACAAAUGAGGAGCAACCACAAAAAAUGCCUGUUCUUGUGUUGCUGCCCUCCAGACUUCUCAUGGAGGGGCCACACAAAGAAGGGCAUCAGAUUAUGAGUGUGGGGUCCCGAAAAUAAAUAGAAAUACAUUAAAAAUAGUCCAGAUGCCUCUGAAUACCAGUUGCUGGGAACCAACAGUGGCUUCUGCUUCCAGAAUCAGAGGCUGUUGUUAGAAGAGAACAGCAGUGGACCUACUGCCCUGAUGUCCACCUUCCAGGCUUCCGUGAGGCCUCUGUUGGCCACUGUGAGAACAGGAUGCUGGUCUAGAUGGGCCUUGGGCCUGAUCCGGCAACUGAGGCUCUUCUAUUCCAGAAGAGAAUCUGAUUUGGGGAGAGGGUUGCAACUCCUCGCCCCUGUUCCUAUGACAACAUCACUGAGGGCUUCUACUGACAAUACUUGUGUUGUUUCGUAUUAUUUCUCCUUCUCCUUCAUACUUCCCUCCCUCCCUCCUCCACCCAAGGCAUUCCGGGUGCUCUGCCACCAUUUCCCGUAGACCCUUCCCCGCACUCCUACCUCCGCCAUCUUGCUCCCCCUCUCCCAGUAGGCCUGCCUCGCCUAGCUUCCCAGUAGCCUCAGCCCGUCCCCCAAGAUGACCUUGCCCCCACCAAGUGUCCCCCUCUUCUCCCCAAGCCAGGUGGCUCGCGUCUGCGAAGCCCUGCAGGAGAGCGGAGAAUUUGAGCGCCUCGCCCGCUUCCUGUGGUCCCUCCCGCCGUCGCUCGCCCUCCGGCACCCCGAAGGCCUGGGCUGCACUCACGCCAAUUGCCAUGACUUGGAGUUGUUCAGCAGCCCGAUUCCCUCGGCUGCGUGGUUGGCGCCCUACUGCAGCCAGGCCACUGUGGCCACCUACCACCUGGAACCGUUCGGUGCCCUGCGGCCCGGAGACAGGUUCUCAAUACAUCCACCAGACCGAUCACCUGCCCGGAAGAAGGUCCCUGGUCUGCCGAGGGACUCUUGCCAAGAUGGGGAGCAGAAAGUGAAUGGCUUCAAGGAAAGGACACGGAACCUCCUGCGGGAGUGGUACCUUCAGGAUCCGUACCCUAACCCUUCCCGCAAGAGGCACCUGGCCCAGGCGACAGGGCUCACCCCCACCCAAGUGGGGAACUGGUUUAAAAACCGCCGGCAGAGAGACCGCGCAGCAUCAGCCAAGCACAGGCAGCAAAAGGAGCCGUCAACCCAGCCUAGAGACGUCCAAACCGAGACCCUAAACAGCAAGCUGCGCUUGGCGGAAGAGAGCAGCGCACCUGGGGAGCAGACAGAUCCCACCGCAGCCACCAGUGAUGAUGAAAACAGCCAAAGAGCAGGGGAGACCUGGGAAGACUGAUCCAGCCGAGGGGUUCUCUGUUCAACAGAAAUGACUGGCUGGGGUGUGUGGGAGACGCAGGGCACGACCAAUGGGAAUGAGAUGCAGUCAUCACGAACCCCAUUACUUAUGGAAUGGGGUUGGGGAGGUUUUAAGGAAAGGGAACCAGGUGCAAGAUUGAGGGUGUGGCAGGAAUUAUGGGAACGGAGAGUUUAUUGGCUAACUUCCCUGUUAUCCCGCUUGCCUUCCCCUGAGCAGCUUUGCAGCGCUGGUGUCCUUCAAAGGAGAUAAAACUGGAGUCUCGUUGCCACUUUACAAAAAAUAGGUUUAUUUGCCUCGAGAGAAGGGGCGCCAGGACCCGGGCUUAAGAAGUACAGCAGUGAAGACUCCAGGCUUUCUUCUCUCAAGCCUGCCUUGGGCAGCAUCUAAUUUAACCAGAAUGAAACAAUAAGCCUCUCCAGAUCUUCACUUCACACCACCAGGCCCUUUUGUAGUUCUCUGGGUCCUAAACCAGCAGGAGGGAAGGGCUCCCUGCUCACGAAGGCAUCCAGGAUGACGUGUUGCUGAGUCUGUAGCCAGGACUGGAGAGAAGAGGGUGAGGAGGAGCCAGGAGUGAGGGGAGAGGAAAUAGAUUUGGGAGGUUUCGGAGUUAAAGCAAAAGUGAAUGAGCAGUCAGGAGAGAAAGAGAGCAUAUAUGGGGGUAUUUGUAGAUUAAAAAGAGGUCUGGGGCAGGGGUUAAGGAUGGAUGCACCUAUAUCAGUGAGGCUCUUGCUGAUUUUGAUCCAAAGGAAUGUCUGUUAAAUAACUGACAGCACCAAUCACCUUCUGGGGAACGAUCGAAAGCAGCUUUCCGCACAUUUUUGGUCACUGGGUGUACUUUGUCAGAGACAUACUAGCAGCCAGGGCACUUGCAGCCACACCUAGGGGUUGGGGCCCAGCCACUGUGUCCAUGAAGCUUUCGGCUAAACCCUUUGCAUCCCUCCAUCCCUCAGUUGAAACAAGAUGUCCGUACAGGUAACCUGCAUCUCCUUGCAUUAAUCCCUUGUUUAGUUUGGCUCAUGCCUCCGAUUUCAUCCUCUGCCACAUAAAUUUAGAUUGAGGUCUCCCCGGAGGGGCGGGGGCUGCAGAGGCCUGUCUUUCCGGGUUGUUUGUUUAUCUCUCUCUGUGUAAACUGCUGAGUAUAUUUACGGCACAGUAUCAAUAAAACGAUUCUAUUCUAAUAUGUGGAGAGCACCACUAAAAAUGCCAGCGCCGCAUUAAUAAAUGAUGGUGGCUUUGCAUUCCAGAGGCGAUGCGUCACUUAAAAACAAACAAAGGGAUGCUCAAGUGGCUCCCUUUUGCAGGCAUGAGGUUGAGAAGAGAAGCGUUUGGAAUGAGAAAGAAUGAAGGGAUACAGCUAUGAGCAACGCUUUCAAAAGGAUGGAACCCUGUGUAGUAAGAAGAGCUAAGCCAGGGGUCAGCAAACUUUUUCGGCAGGGGGCCGGUCCACUGUCCCUCAGACUUUGUGGGGGGCUGGACUAUAUUUUUUGGGGGGAAAUGAACAAAUUCCUAUGCCCCACAAAUAACCCAGAGAUGCAUUUUAAAUAAAAAGACACAUUCUACUCAUGUAAAAACAUGCUGAUUCCCGGACCGUCUGCGGGCCGGAUUUAGAAGGCGAUUGGGCUGGAUCCGACCCCCGGGCCUUAAUUUACCUAUCCAUGAGCUAAGGCAAGCCUGCUGGCUUAGGCCGAUAUUCAGAGGCACAAGAUACCUCUGAAAGUGGAGGUGUGAUUAGUAGCCAUUGAAAGCCUUGUCCUCCCUAAAAUCUGCUGCUAAGUCACAUCCAAGAGUCAAGUCAUUCUCCAUAUGUAGGCAAAAAAACCGCACCUGGGGAUCCAAGUGGAGGCUGGUCCAUUAGGGCAAAUGAGGCACUGCCCUGUCAGCAUUGCAAGUGGCCCAGGAGGAUGGGAGUUGUAAUCCAGCAAGUUCUGGAAGGCCACAGGUCCCCCACUCAAAUAUUCUAGCUUGCAUCCAGGCCACAGGGUGCUGCUGCCUGAAACCUUAUUCUUCCUUAGUCCCAGUGUUGUUCCUUGUAGAACUCAGCGAGGAUGGGGACCAAACUUAGAAUGGCUCAGCCUGUCAAUGGCUCUGGCGCCACCUACUGGUGUGCUCCCUGCCUUCUGCCCCAAUGGGCACCAGCCACCAUUAAAAGGAACCUGAAACAGCUCCAGUGUGGACUGAGUGCAUAGCAUAGGCAUGGCAUGGAGCGUGCUGGGAAGGGACAUGGCUCGAACCCUGAAUAGAAGCACGCCACUUGGCAGCAUUUUGUUUAAAGGUCCUGGUUGUAUUAAUUCCAACCAGUUCCACUCUCAGGGCUUAUUAACACUUACCUUUUCCUCUGCUCUUUCCAGGCAUGGUCCAUGAUUGAAAGCUCCAUGUCUGAGCAAACCCUUUAUUUUGGUUGGCCCACAAAACCUGCUCUUUUAAAGCUCAAUUGGAGCAAGCGGCAAUCUGCAUAAAAGCUGGAUUUACUUUUGCUCCGAUUCAGCUUUAAAGUAGUGGUGUUCUGUGGGUGGUGUUAUAAAAAUUUUAAGGUCUUAGAUAUAUAAUAAAUGUUCAUAAAUGUACCAAGCAAACACGUACAUAAAUAUAUAAACCACAUGUCUGGAGCAGCACAGGAAUACAGUCCUGAAACCAUUUUGACUCCUAAACUGACCAAAUGUUUCUCUGCAAGGAGGGAGAGGGAAUUAAGUGAUUACCAUCUCAAAGGAAUGGCCAGACUACCAGGAAAAACAAUCAGAGAAGGCAUUAUCAGAUAACCUGGCAGACAAGGGAUAAAGAAAGCAUUCAGAUUUCUGUUGUAGACCGCCUUUUCUAUGAUGUAUGUAUGAUGUUUCUGAGGGUGGUCUUGGGCUACACCCCUUCUGUGAUGUAUGUAUGAUGUUUCUGGGGGUGGUCUUGAGCUCCAGGGCAGGGAAUUUCAAAAUGUCUAUAUAAGGGGAGGCACAACUUUGUUCUGGGUCCUCCUCCGUCCUCCUGCGUGUGAGGGGAGCACCCUGUUGCAACAGCGUUAAUAAAGAUCAGGCUUACUAGCUGCUUU